UUUGCUAUCUUAACAUGCACCCCAUAACUGAUUUUGUCUGCUUUAAAACCUUUAAUAUUCUUUGAAGACGUGGUCUAGGUCUGAAAAUCUGAUUCUGAACAUGGUAAGAGAACACUGAAAAAAAACAGUAAGAACUACAGAAAAGUGGGAAAUAGUUUGCUGAUUCCAUGGCCAGAGGAGCAAAGAGCGUGUAGACAGUGUUUUGUCAAACAGUGUCUACCCGUUUAUUUAUUUAUUGCCUAUCUUCUCCCAGAUGAGGCUGGGGCUUCUCCUGUCUUGUGCAACAAGGGCCAGAUCCCCAACACCUAGGAUAAGAUAAAAGUUGGUGCAGAGGAGGCCCUCGUAAAUAAUUGCUAAAGAAAUUGCUAUUUCUCUCUGUAGCUGUGUGAUAUUCUGCUUUGAAACUUAGUGGCCUAAAACAAUGGCGAUUUGUUAUUUCUUACCAUCCAGUGGGUGGACUGGGCCUUUUGGGCUCCCCUGGUGGCUGGUGUGGGGAUGUCUCACCCACACAUCUAGGCCUUAGCUGGGGCAGCUGGGCCUCUUUACAUGGUUUCUCACCCAGGGCUUCUGUUCCCGAUGCAGAAGCUUUCCAAAGGGCAAAGGUAGAAGCAGCAAGGCCUUGAGAUCUGGGAUCUGGAACCCCACAAGUCACUUCCACCAUGUUCUUCUGGUUAAAGCAAGUCACGAGGCCCGCCUGGAAUUCAAGGUGUGAAGAAAGAGACUCCACCCCUUGAUGGGAAAGGCUGCAAAACAGUAUGAUCCUGCCUUUCCUUCUGCCACAUUGCUCCGAAGUUUGUAAACGGAGGAAGAAUAAUCGGAAUUGUCCACCGUUGGCCAGCUUAGUGCCUGGCACCUGGGAAGCCCUCACUGUUGGUCCCGUGAAUGAAAGAAUGUCACGGCUGGUUCCGUUCCCUUCAAAAAUGGACUGCUUCUUGGGACACAUUGGCCGAUAUUGCCCCCGAGUGGAAUUUGAGGAUUGAGGCCAGGGUAAUUCCUUUCUUGGAAGAUUGAACUGUAAGAUUCCAGUUUACAGGUUAGGACAGGGGUUUCUAAACUUUAGCAUAGGUAUGAAGCGUAUAGAGAUCUUAUUAAGAACAGAAGAUUCUGGGACCCCAGCGUGGCCCAGUUGGUUAAGUGUCGGACUCUCGAUUUUGGCUCAGCUCCUGAUCCCGGGAUCAUUGGGGUCAAGUCCCACAUUGGGCUCCGUGCUGAGCGUGAAACCUGCUUAGGAUUCUCUGUCUCUUCCUCUGCCCCUCCCCAGCUCAUGCCCCCCACCAUCAAAACAACAACAACAACAACAACAACCAGAAGAUUCUGACAUCCAUUUUCAAAAUAAAUCGGACAGUCUGACAACUGAUUCAAAACAAAAACAAAAAAGCAGAAGCUUCUUGGACCCCAUCCUGGAAGCGAGGUAAUUUUGACCGCCUCUUAUGGAAGACUAGAAUGAGGUUGUGGCAACAUUUUCUGCACUAGCAUUUUGCAUCGGCCAAAAAUGGGAAAGAUCAGAACUCACCUUCAGUAGGAAGUGCUUAAACUGUGAGCCAACUGUUCAAUAAGAUGCUGUGCAACCAUUACAAAGAACAAGGGUUAUUCACUAUCGCCAAAAAGUAGAAACCAUCUAAAAUGUCCUUCAACUAGCGAAUAAGCAAAAUGUGGUAGGUUAUGCUACAAUGGGAUAUGAUUCGGCCAUAAAAGCAAUGAAGUUCUGAGACACGCUAUCACAUGGAUGAACCUUGGAAACAUUAUGCCGAGUGAAAGAAGUCAGACACAGGGGGCCUCGUAGAAUAUGAUUCCGUUUAUAGGAAAUGUCUAGAAUAGGUAAAUCCAUGGAGACAGAAAAAAAGAUAAGUAGUUACCAGGGGUUGGGGAGGGAAUGGGAAAUGAUUGCUAACAGGUAUGAGGUUUCUUUGGGGGAUGAUGAAAUUAUUCUGGAAUAGAUAGCAGUGAUGGGUACACACCCUUGUGAAUAUACAGAACCCACUGAAUUGUGCACUUUAAAAGAAUGAACUUGGGGUGCCUGGGUGGCUCAAUCAGUUAAGCAUCUGACUUUGGCUCAGGUCAUGAUUUCACGGCUCAGGAGUCUGAGCCCCGCGUCGGGCUCUGUGCUGACAGCUCAGAGCCUGGAGCCUGCUUCGGAUUCUUUGUCUCCCUGUCUUUCUGCCCUUCCCCCGCUCAUGCUCUGCCACCCUGUCUCUCUCAAAAAUAAAUAAACAUUAAACAAAAUAAAAGAGUGAACUUUA
Molecule: long non-coding RNA, 2240 nt
Organism: Neofelis nebulosa (Clouded leopard)
Lineage: Eukaryota; Metazoa; Chordata; Mammalia; Carnivora; Felidae
Exons: 2
Source: RefSeq, a predicted model, not a curated record